Molecule: ribosomal RNA, 482 nt
Filed under: uncultured bacterium
Lineage: Bacteria
Description: bacterial SSU rRNA
Rfam family: Bacterial small subunit ribosomal RNA
Source: RNAcentral
UCAGUCGACUCCUACGGGGAGGCAGCAGUGGGGGAAUAUUGGGACAAUCGGGGGGGAACCCUGAUCCAGCCAUGCCGCGUGUGUGAAGAAGGCCUUAUGGUUGUAAAGCACUUUAAGCGAGGAGGAGGCUACUGAGACUAAUACUCUUGGAUAGUGGACGGUUACUCGCAGAUAAGCACCGGCUAACUCUGUGCCAGCAGCCGCGGUAAUACAGAGGGGUGCGAGCGUUAAUCGGAUUUACUGGGCGUAAAGCGUGCGUAGGCGGCGUUUUUAAGUCGGAUGUGAAAUACCCCGAGCUUAACUUGGGAAUUGCAUUCGAUACUGGGAAGCUAGAGUAUGGGAGAGGAUGGUAGAAUUCCAGGUGUAGCGGUGAAAUGCGUAGAGAUCUGGAGGAAUACCGAUGGCGAAGGCAGCCAUCUGGCCUAAUACUGACGCUGAGGUACGAAAGCAUGGGGAGCAAACAGGAUUAGAUACCCUGGUAG